CGUUGUUCGGAAUUACUGGGCGUAAAGGGCUCGUAGGUGGCCAACUAAGUCAGACGUGAAAUCCCUCGGCUUAACCGGGGAACUGCGUCUGAUACUGGAUGGCUUGAGUUCGGGAGAGGGAUGCGGAAUUCCAGGUGUAGCGGUGAAAUGCGUAGAUAUCUGGAGGAACACCGGUGGCGAAGGCGGCAUCCUGGACCAACACUGACGCUGAGUGAGCGAAAGCCAGGGGAGCAAACGGG
RNAcentral lists this ribosomal RNA (239 nucleotides) under uncultured bacterium. Its description in RNAcentral is "partial 16S ribosomal RNA". It matches the Rfam family "Bacterial small subunit ribosomal RNA", at positions 539 to 776 of the family's 1533-position model. The record is from RNAcentral.